This 254-nucleotide ribosomal RNA is filed under the name uncultured bacterium. RNAcentral's name for it is "partial 16S ribosomal RNA". It matches the Rfam family "Bacterial small subunit ribosomal RNA", at positions 524 to 776 of the family's 1533-position model. The record is from RNAcentral.
GACGUAGGGCGCGAGCGUUGUCCGGAUUUAUUGGGCGUAAAGAGCUCGUAGGCGGCUUGUCGCGUCGUCCGUGAAAACCCAGGGCUCAACCCUGGGCCUGCAUUCGAUACGGGCAGACUAGAGUUCGGUAGGGGAGACUGGAAUUCCUGGUGUAGCGGUGAAAUGCGCAGAUAUCAGGAGGAACACCGGUGGCGAAGGCGGGUCUCUGGGCCGAAACUGGACGCUGAGGAGCGAAAGCGUGGGGAGCAAACAGG